GCGGGGGGCUUGAGUGCGCCGAACUCGCUCAUCGAAACUCCGAAAGGCACCGGUCUCCAAAACCGGCGAUUCCAGGUUCGAGUCCUGGGUGCCCCGCU
RNAcentral lists this transfer RNA (98 nucleotides) under Actinomycetota bacterium. Its description in RNAcentral is "tRNA-Trp". The stretch from base 18 to 88 matches the Rfam family "tRNA", at positions 10 to 63 of the family's 71-position model. From Rfam's summary of the family: Transfer RNA (tRNA) molecules are approximately 80 nucleotides in length. Their secondary structure includes four short double-helical elements and three loops (D, anti-codon, and T loops). Further hydrogen bonds mediate the characteristic L-shaped molecular structure. tRNAs have two regions of fundamental functional importance: the anti-codon, which is responsible for specific mRNA codon recognition, and the 3' end, to which the tRNAs corresponding amino acid is attached (by aminoacyl-tRNA synthetases). tRNAs cope with the degeneracy of the genetic code in two manners: having more than one tRNA (with a specific anti-codon) for a particular amino acid; and 'wobble' base-pairing, i.e. permitting non-standard base-pairing at the 3rd anti-codon position. The record is from RNAcentral. Lineage: Bacteria; Bacillati; Actinomycetota.